Molecule: long non-coding RNA, 1311 nt
Organism: Oreochromis niloticus (Nile tilapia)
Lineage: Eukaryota; Metazoa; Chordata; Actinopteri; Cichliformes; Cichlidae
Exons: 3
Source: RefSeq, a predicted model, not a curated record
CCAAAAAUCACAGCUCAGGAACAGUUUUUGUUGGUGCCUCCACGAUUCGACAUCCAGAAACACGCUGCCUGUUUGACUUCCUCCACUGAUGUGACCAAUCAGAAUCUGAACUUCUAAAGAAGCGAGGGUUCCUCCAAUGGUUAUCACUGUACGGACCAGUAAUGUAUGCUGUCAUAGUAACGAUGUCUUUUUAAGGAAGGCUUUGCUUAUUUCAGCAAGACACUGCAAAACCACAUGUUAUGCAUUACAACAACAGUGCAUUAAAGAAAUCCAGGUGCUAGACUAGAGUGCCUGCAGUGUCAAACCCAACACCCAAGUGGAAAUAUGUGGAGUAUUCUAAGGCCACAGACUGUUCAGCAAGUGAAAUCCUAUAUUCAGCAAGAACAGGUAAACACUUUGCUUUCAAAGCUGCAGCAACUGAUCUCCAAACAAAGAGAGGUGAUGCAACACAGUGGGAAGCAUGUCCUUACUGCUGUAUCUACUUCACUGAUAUGUUAAACAGUGUUACUCUUUACAGCAUCUCCCAGAGUUUUUAGAAACUGGAUACUCUGAAAUAAAUACAAAAUGAGUGCAUUUUUGUACCUUUUACCUUUUCUUAGAUAAGAUUUUUUUCCCCGCAGGACUCGUCUCUCGUCAGUACGUAUGGUGGGCAGUGUGGCAUAGCAACACUCUAAAUCAAUCUCCUACCACUGGUGCUUAUAAGCAGAGAUACUGCACUGCUCAGAUCUCUGCUCUGUGUGCAGGUCAGCUCAGCCUCUCGAAGCGAUCGCCUGCCGUCACAGCAAAGUUCAAUAUCGUGUGCAGCAGGGAUUUGAUGCAUGGGACACCGGCCUAUAAUUGGACAUGUCAGUGGCAAUUUAACGUGAUCCAUUUAUUUACCAAUCCGUCCUCGGAGUCAUCAAUCACCUCAUCCUUCAGACGCACCGUGUCGUCCCCGCAGCGGUCGCGGGCGCCUGCGUGCGAGUGAGGUGGACAGUCAUGUGGGUGGCUGUGCGCUGGUGUAGGUUUGCCUGCCUUUGACCCCCACAGCGUUAGCGGACAGGGUGUGCUAUUUGAGCAGGCAGCGAUCACGGUUAUUGGAUGACAUUUGGAACAGUGCCGAAGCGAGCCAGUGUGAGUCUUGAAUAAACACAGGGAAGGCUCCCUGCCCGCUACUGACCUUUGCAUGAGCAGGGAGGGUCAGGAGGCCUAAUACUAUGUUAUUAAGGAGAUGUUAUUUGUAUCACCUGUAACUGACUCUUGUGGGCAGCUGCCACCAAGGACUUCUUUGCUCUUUUGUUCUCGCUUUUUUUUUCUCUUCACAGAAAUAUA